GACGAACGCUGGCGGCGUGCCUAAUACAUGCAAGUCGAGCGAAGUUUUUCUGGUGCUUGCACUAGAAAAACUUAGCGGCGAACGGGUGAGUAACACGUAAAGAACCUGCCUCAUAGACUGGGACAACUAUUGGAAACGAUAGCUAAUACCGGAUAACAGCAUCAACUGCAUGGUUGAUGUUUGAAAGUUGGUUUUGCUAACACUAUGAGAUGGCUUUGCGGUGCAUUAGCUAGUUGGUGGGGUAAAGGCCUACCAAGGCGACGAUGCAUAGCCGACCUGAGAGGGUGAUCGGCCACACUGGGACUGAGACACGGCCCAGACUCCUACGGGAGGCAGCAGUAGGGAAUCUUCCGCAAUGGGCGAAAGCCUGACGGAGCAACGCCGCGUGAGUGAAGAAGGAUUUCGGUUCGUAAAGCUCUGUUGUUAGGGAAGAAUGAUUGUGUAGUAACUAUACACAGUAGAGACGGACCUAACCAAAAGCCACG
This 485-nucleotide ribosomal RNA is filed under the name Gemella haemolysans. RNAcentral describes it as "bacterial SSU rRNA". It matches the Rfam family "Bacterial small subunit ribosomal RNA", at positions 28 to 495 of the family's 1533-position model. Lineage: Bacteria; Bacillati; Bacillota; Bacilli; Caryophanales; Gemellaceae. The record is from RNAcentral.